This 420-nucleotide ribosomal RNA is filed under the name uncultured cyanobacterium. Its description in RNAcentral is "bacterial SSU rRNA". It matches the Rfam family "Bacterial small subunit ribosomal RNA", at positions 376 to 811 of the family's 1533-position model. Lineage: Bacteria; Bacillati; Cyanobacteriota. The record is from RNAcentral.
CGAAAGCCUGACGGAGCAAUACCGCGUGAGGGAGGAAGGCCUUUGGGUUGUAAACCUCUUUUCUCAGGGAAGAAGAUCUGACGGUACCUGAGGAAUAAGCAUCGGCUAACUCCGUGCCAGCAGCCGCGGUAAUACGGAGGAUGCAAGCGUUAUCCGGAAUUAUUGGGCGUAAAGCGUCCGCAGGUGGUUUUUCAAGUCUGCUGUCAAAGACCAGAGCUCAACUCUGGACCGGCAGUGGAAACUGGGAAACUAGAGUCCGGUAGGGGUAGCGGGAAUUCCCAGUGUAGCGGUGAAAUGCGUAGAUAUUGGGAAGAACAUCGGUGGCGAAGGCGCGCUACUGGACCGGAACUGACACUCAGGGACGAAAGCUAGGGGAGCGAAAGGGAUUAGAUACCCCUGUAGUCCUAGCUGUAAACGAUG